This 117-nucleotide ribosomal RNA is filed under the name Danio rerio (zebrafish). Lineage: Eukaryota; Metazoa; Chordata; Actinopteri; Cypriniformes; Danionidae. The record is from RNAcentral.
GACAGAAAAGCUAGCGCUCUGCAACUCUCAAAUGGUCGCCCACAGAAGCUAAGCAGGGCUGCGCCUGGUCAGUACCUUGAUGGGAGACCACAGGGGAAAGCUAGGUUGUUGCCGGUU